UCUCCCUCACAGCUCUCUCACACAACACACCACACACGCAUCGUUUUGCCCUUUACGCGCACAUAAUAUCCUCUCUUUCUUUCUCUCUCUCUCUCUCUCUCUCUCUCUCUUGCUUCGUUCGCUCGCUCUCUGAUAUAUCAACAUCGUCUCCCUCUUCUCUCAUCUCUCUGUAAAAAAGACAAAGCCGUGGAUCUAUCUCCUCCCUCCAUCCUCCUUUCCUUCUCUUCCUUACUCAAAAACAGCAAGAAGAACAAUUCUAUCAUUCUCUCUUUGUACCUAUUGCAUCAAUUUCUUUUCUCUUUAUCUUUGAGAUCUACCCUUUUCUUAUUUUUCGUUGUUAAAGAUAACCCAGAUCUCAGUUUCUCUAAUUUGUUUCAAAGAUGACAUCUUUCCGUUCAGAUCCAGCCUCAAGAAUCUACCCAGAACCUCAAUCUCUCUCAGCGAUCGACCAUUUCGACCGUUUACCAGACUCUCUCCUCCUUCUCGUCUUUAACAAAAUCGGAGAUGUCAAAGCUCUCGGCCGCUGCUGUGUCGUUUCACGCCGCUUUCACUCUCUUGUUCCUCAAGUUGAUAACGUCGUUGUUCGUGUCGACUGUGUAAUUUCCGAUGAUGAUACUUCCCCUUCUUCUUCGUCCGAUAAAUCUCGCUCUUCUGGCUCAUCAUCUUCUUCUUCGUCGUCUUCUGCUGGGUUUUCCUCUAUUUUUCGUUUGGUUUUUGGUGGUAUUGUUAAGCCUUUUCAAGCUCUCGGUCAGUUUCUUGGACCGACUAGAAGAGACAUGUUAAAUCCUUACCCUUCUUCAAGAAAUGGCCUUUUAUCUUCUUCAAGUUCUGCACUUUCUGUUGGGAACGAGGAUGAUGUUGGGGAAUUGGAUCAAGGUGGUGUUACCCAUCACUCACCAACUCAGGUCUUGAAGAAUUUUAAUGAAAUUCGUUUUUUACGAAUUGAAUUACCCAGUGGAGAAUUAGGUAUUGAUGAUGGUGUCCUUCUAAAAUGGAGGGCUGAUUUUGGAUCUACUCUUGAUAACUGUGUUAUUCUUGGUGCCGCUUCUGUAAUUAACAAUGCACAUAAUUCCAAAAGUUCUCAUCUUUUACAAGAAACUGUACCCGACUGCAACAAUGGUAAUAGUAGCAGUGGUGAUGAUAAUGGGAGCAUACCCGAGUCAUUUUACACCAACGGAGGCUUGAAACUGAGAGUUGUGUGGACUAUUAGCUCGUUGAUUGCGGCUUCUGCUAGGCAUUAUUUGCUUCAACCGAUUAUUGCUGAGCACAAGACGCUUGAUAGCUUGGUAUUAACUGAUGCUGAUGGGCAAGGAGUGCUGUGUAUGAAUAGGGAACAGCUUGAGGAGUUAAGAGUGAAGCCAUUGUCUGCUUCGUCUGCAUCAAAGAGGACGCUUGUGCCUGCGUUGAACAUGCGGCUGUGGUAUGCGCCCCAAUUAGAACUGCCUGAUGGGAUUGUGUUGAAAGGUGCAACUUUGGUUGCUAUUAGACCUAGCGAGCAGUCUACUUCCAGGAAGGAGGUUUGUGAUGCAUCUUGGGUUUCUACUGCUUUUGAGGAGCCUUACGGUACUGCCGCUAAGAUGCUGGUGAAGAGGAGGACUUACUGCUUGGAGAUGAACUCAUUUUGACGGAGCUGGAGCUAAGGGAAAGCACAAAUGGUUUUGGGGAAGGUGAAUGUGCAAGUUCUUUCAGAGUGAAGAAUCAGAAACCAAUUAUGCUUUUUCCACUCGACCUGAAGUGGGCUCACAUUACUGUGAAGCUGAAUCCUCUGCGGGAUUGCUGCCAUGACACCCAUCAUCGGUCAACUAUGCACUGUGAUUGUUCAACUUUCGGGUGCUUAAAGUGAUCAUUAAAAUGCAUCUGCUGCUUGUUUUUAUCGAGGCAUAUGCUCGUCAGGGUGCACACAUUCAACUAGCUGAAUGUUAUAAAGAGCUUUGAGUUUGUAGUCAUUUUCUUAAAUCUAAAAUCAUGCAUAAAGAUGGAUAUGAUGUGGAGUAGGAUAAGAUAAUACACAUUUUAGUCCCUGCAAUAGAAGGGUUCAUGUCAAUGCAAAGGAUCAUGUUGCUUGGACAUUAUCUCUAGCCAUAGCAAUUAGUUUCUUGUCCGCGACCCCCGGCAUUGUUAUUCAGGUUUCUAAAGAGAUACAUCUUGAAUGUGUAUAUCCUUAAUCACCAGUUGCUUAUGACAUGCGAGUUUUUGAGAUUUGGUUUCUGGGAAGGUUGUCUUAGAGGCCUCUCAUGUUUAUCAAAACACAUGAAACUCCUUCUCAAGUUAUGAUGUUUUACAAGUUUAGGGACUGCGACUUGGAUGCGUUUUGGAAAAUGCUGUUGUGGUCGCAGCUUAUUGGAGUAUUACAUGCCCUUUCAGAAACAUUUGAAACCUCCAUUUCUUAAUUUGGAAUUUGUUUUUCUUUAUAUAUGUUAUAUGCAAUGUAUGUUCCCUUGAAUUAGCUCAGCAGGAAACUAUCAUUGAUUUUGAA
Molecule: RNA transcript, 2476 nt
Organism: Ricinus communis (castor bean)
Lineage: Eukaryota; Viridiplantae; Streptophyta; Magnoliopsida; Malpighiales; Euphorbiaceae
Gene name: F-box protein At5g46170
Exons: 3
Source: RefSeq, a predicted model, not a curated record